AACGAACGCUGGCGGCAUGCCUAACACAUGCAAGUCGAACGAGACCUUCGGGUCUAGUGCCGAACGGGUGCGUAACGCGUGGGAACCUGCCCUUAGGUUCGGAAUAACUCCCCGAAAGGGGUGCUAAUACCGGAUAAUGUCUCCGGACCAAAGAUUUAUCGCCUUUGGAUGGGCCCGCGUUGGAUUAGCUAGUUGGUAGGGUAAAAGCCUACCAAGGCGACGAUCCAUAGCUGGUCUGAGAGGAUGAUCAGCCACACUGGGACUGAGACACGGCCCAGACUCCUACGGGAGGCAGCAGUGGGGAAUAUUGGACAAUGGGCGAAAGGCUGAUCCAGCAAUGCCGCGUGAGUGAUGAAGGCCUUAGGGUUGUAAAGCUCUUUUACCCGGGAUGAUAAUGACAGUACCGUGAGAAUAAGCUCCGGCUAACUCCGUG
This 433-nucleotide ribosomal RNA is filed under the name uncultured bacterium. Its description in RNAcentral is "partial 16S ribosomal RNA". It matches the Rfam family "Bacterial small subunit ribosomal RNA", at positions 29 to 507 of the family's 1533-position model. The record is from RNAcentral.